This 458-nucleotide ribosomal RNA is filed under the name uncultured bacterium. Its description in RNAcentral is "bacterial SSU rRNA". It matches the Rfam family "Bacterial small subunit ribosomal RNA", at positions 28 to 524 of the family's 1533-position model. The record is from RNAcentral.
GACGAACGCUGGCGGCAUGCCUAACACAUGCAAGUCGAACGGGAUCCUAGCUUGCUAGGUGAGAGUGGCGGACGGGUGAGUAACACGUGGGAAUCUGCCUUUUGGUUCGGGAUAACCGCGGGAAACUGCGGCUAAUACCGAAUGCCCUCGAGAGAGGAAAGAUUUAUCGCCAGAAGAGGAGCCCGCGUCCGAUUAGGUAGUUGGUGGGGUAAAGGCCUACCAAGCCGACGAUCGGUAGCUGGUCUGAGAGGAUGACCAGCCACACUGGGACUGAGAUACGGCCCAGACUCCUACGGGAGGCAGCAGUGGGGAAUAUUGGACAAUGGGGGCAACCCUGAUCCAGCAAUGCCGCGUGAGUGAUGAAGGCCUUAGGGUUGUAAAGCUCUUUUACCAGGGAUGAUAAUGACAGUACCUGGAGAAUAAGCUCCGGCUAACUCCGUGCCAGCAGCCGCGGUAAU